GAGAACAAGUUAUCCAUGACAUUAUAAGAUUCAAGGCCGGGUUGAAUAGGGACAUAUCUUCAUGCAUGACCCUCCAUAAAUUUGACACUAUAGAUUGCAUCUUCUAAGCUACAUUGGAGAUUUAAAGAGAGAUCUUGGCUUACAAGUCUAAGGGUCACCAACAACCUUUCUCGGAUUAGCACAAAGACAAGGAACACUCAUUCAAUGCCAGCCAACCUAAG
Molecule: long non-coding RNA, 221 nt
Filed under: Capsicum annuum
Lineage: Eukaryota; Viridiplantae; Streptophyta; Magnoliopsida; Solanales; Solanaceae
Description: long non-coding RNA (CANN_LNC010093)
Source: RNAcentral